AGCUCCAAUGGCGUAUAUUAAAGUUGUUGCGGUUAAAAAGCUCGUAGUUGGAUUUCUGCUGAGGAUGACCGGUCCGCCCUCUGGGCAGGUAUCUGGCUCAGCCUUGGCAUCUUCCUGAAGAACGUAGCUGCACUUGACUGUGUGGUGCGGUAUUUAGGACAUUUACUUUGAGGAAAUUAGAGUGUUUCAAGCAAGCGCACGCCUUGAAUACAUUAGCAUGGAAUAAUAAGAUAGGACCUCGGUUCUAUUUUGUUGGUUUCUAGAGCUGAGGUAAUGAUUGAUAGGGAUAGUUGGGGGACUACUGCGAAAGCAUUUGCCAAGGAUGUUUUCA
Molecule: ribosomal RNA, 331 nt
Filed under: uncultured eukaryote
Lineage: Eukaryota
Description: SSU rRNA
Rfam family: Eukaryotic small subunit ribosomal RNA
Source: RNAcentral